UGCGUAGGUGGUUAGGUAAGUUAGAUGUGAAAUCCCUGGGCUCAACCUAGGAACUGCGUUUAAAACUGCUUAGCUAGAGUAUUGUAGAGGAUAGUGGAAUUUCCAGUGUAGCGGUGAAAUGCGUAGAUAUUGGAAGGAACACCAGUGGCGAAGGCGACUAUCUGGGCAAAUACUGACACUGAGGCACGAGAGCGAUGGGGAGCAAACA
This 208-nucleotide ribosomal RNA is filed under the name uncultured bacterium. Its description in RNAcentral is "partial 16S ribosomal RNA". It matches the Rfam family "Bacterial small subunit ribosomal RNA", at positions 568 to 774 of the family's 1533-position model. The record is from RNAcentral.